RNAcentral lists this ribosomal RNA (253 nucleotides) under uncultured bacterium. Its description in RNAcentral is "partial 16S ribosomal RNA". It matches the Rfam family "Bacterial small subunit ribosomal RNA", at positions 524 to 776 of the family's 1533-position model. The record is from RNAcentral.
GACGUAGGGCGCGAGCGUUGUCCGGAUUUAUUGGGCGUAAAGAGCUCGUAGGCGGUUUGUCACGUCUGCUGUGAAAUCCCGAGGCUCAACCUCGGGCCUGCAGUGGGUACGGGCAGACUGGAGUGCGGUAGGGGAGAAUGGAAUUCCUGGUGUAGCGGUGAAAUGCGCAGAUAUCAGGAAGAACACCCGUGGCGAAGGCGGCUCUCUGGGACGGUACUGACGCUGAGACGCGAAAGCGUGGGGAGCGAACAGG